RNAcentral lists this ribosomal RNA (2388 nucleotides) under Pseudomonas aeruginosa. RNAcentral describes it as "bacterial LSU rRNA". It matches the Rfam family "Bacterial large subunit ribosomal RNA", at positions 192 to 2617 of the family's 2925-position model. The record is from RNAcentral. Lineage: Bacteria; Pseudomonadati; Pseudomonadota; Gammaproteobacteria; Pseudomonadales; Pseudomonadaceae.
ACUGAAACAUCUAAGUACCCUGAGGAAAAGAAAUCAACCGAGAUUCCCUUAGUAGUGGCGAGCGAACGGGGAUUAGCCCUUAAGCUUCAUUGAUUUUAGCGGAACGCUCUGGAAAGUGCGGCCAUAGUGGGUGAUAGCCCCGUACGCGAAAGGAUCUUUGAAGUGAAAUCGAGUAGGACGGAGCACGAGAAACUUUGUCUGAACAUGGGGGGACCAUCCUCCAAGGCUAAAUACUACUGACUGACCGAUAGUGAACCAGUACCGUGAGGGAAAGGCGAAAAGAACCCCGGAGAGGGGAGUGAAAUAGAACCUGAAACCGUAUGCGUACAAGCAGUGGGAGCCUACUUGUUAGGUGACUGCGUACCUUUUGUAUAAUGGGUCAGCGACUUAUAUUCAGUGGCAAGCUUAACCGUAUAGGGUAGGCGUAGCGAAAGCGAGUCUUAAUAGGGCGUUUAGUCGCUGGGUAUAGACCCGAAACCGGGCGAUCUAUCCAUGAGCAGGUUGAAGGUUAGGUAACACUGACUGGAGGACCGAACCCACUCCCGUUGAAAAGGUAGGGGAUGACUUGUGGAUCGGAGUGAAAGGCUAAUCAAGCUCGGAGAUAGCUGGUUCUCCUCGAAAGCUAUUUAGGUAGCGCCUCAUGUAUCACUCUGGGGGGUAGAGCACUGUUUCGGCUAGGGGGUCAUCCCGACUUACCAAACCGAUGCAAACUCCGAAUACCCAGAAGUGCCGAGCAUGGGAGACACACGGCGGGUGCUAACGUCCGUCGUGAAAAGGGAAACAACCCAGACCGCCAGCUAAGGUCCCAAAGUUGUGGUUAAGUGGUAAACGAUGUGGGAAGGCUUAGACAGCUAGGAGGUUGGCUUAGAAGCAGCCAUCCUUUAAAGAAAGCGUAAUAGCUCACUAGUCGAGUCGGCCUGCGCGGAAGAUGUAACGGGGCUCAAACCACACACCGAAGCUGCGGGUGUCACGUAAGUGACGCGGUAGAGGAGCGUUCUGUAAGCCUGUGAAGGUGAGUUGAGAAGCUUGCUGGAGGUAUCAGAAGUGCGAAUGCUGACAUGAGUAACGACAAUGGGUGUGAAAAACACCCACGCCGAAAGACCAAGGGUUCCUGCGCAACGUUAAUCGACGCAGGGUUAGUCGGUUCCUAAGGCGAGGCUGAAAAGCGUAGUCGAUGGGAAACAGGUUAAUAUUCCUGUACUUCUGGUUACUGCGAUGGAGGGACGGAGAAGGCUAGGCCAGCUUGGCGUUGGUUGUCCAAGUUUAAGGUGGUAGGCUGAAAUCUUAGGUAAAUCCGGGGUUUCAAGGCCGAGAGCUGAUGACGAGUCGUCUUUUAGAUGACGAAGUGGUUGAUGCCAUGCUUCCAAGAAAAGCUUCUAAGCUUCAGGUAACCAGGAACCGUACCCCAAACCGACACAGGUGGUCGGGUAGAGAAUACCAAGGCGCUUGAGAGAACUCGGGUGAAGGAACUAGGCAAAAUGGCACCGUAACUUCGGGAGAAGGUGCGCCGGCUAGGGUGAAGGAUUUACUCCGUAAGCUCUGGCUGGUCGAAGAUACCAGGCCGCUGCGACUGUUUAUUAAAAACACAGCACUCUGCAAACACGAAAGUGGACGUAUAGGGUGUGACGCCUGCCCGGUGCCGGAAGGUUAAUUGAUGGGGUUAGCGCAAGCGAAGCUCUUGAUCGAAGCCCCGGUAAACGGCGGCCGUAACUAUAACGGUCCUAAGGUAGCGAAAUUCCUUGUCGGGUAAGUUCCGACCUGCACGAAUGGCGUAACGAUGGCGGCGCUGUCUCCACCCGAGACUCAGUGAAAUUGAAAUCGCUGUGAAGAUGCAGUGUAUCCGCGGCUAGACGGAAAGACCCCGUGAACCUUUACUGUAGCUUUGCACUGGACUUUGAGCCUGCUUGUGUAGGAUAGGUGGGAGGCUUUGAAGCGUGGACGCCAGUUCGCGUGGAGCCAUCCUUGAAAUACCACCCUGGCAUGCUUGAGGUUCUAACUCUGGUCCGUGAUCCGGAUCGAGGACAGUGUAUGGUGGGCAGUUUGACUGGGGCGGUCUCCUCCUAAAGAGUAACGGAGGAGUACGAAGGUGCGCUCAGACCGGUCGGAAAUCGGUCGCAGAGUAUAAAGGCAAAAGCGCGCUUGACUGCGAGACAGACACGUCGAGCAGGUACGAAAGUAGGUCUUAGUGAUCCGGUGGUUCUGUAUGGAAGGGCCAUCGCUCAACGGAUAAAAGGUACUCCGGGGAUAACAGGCUGAUACCGCCCAAGAGUUCAUAUCGACGGCGGUGUUUGGCACCUCGAUGUCGGCUCAUCACAUCCUGGGGCUGAAGCCGGUCCCAAGGGUAUGGCUGUUCGCCAUUUAAAGUGGUACGCGAGCUGGGUUUAGAAC